AGAUCUUGAUUUGGUAUGUGAUUGCAAUGUUCCGUUUUGGUCAUGGGUAAAAUCACAAUCGUUUCAUGAAGACUUUGUCACCUGUUUGGAUCGGGGAAAUGUGAAACUGUCAAGUCUUCAAGAAAGUGAUUUCGAUAACUGUACCUGUAAGUAUUUUGAUGAUAAAAAAGAGCUCUCGGGAGGGAAAGGCAAUAUAAAAAUGAAAAAUUAUCGCUUAUAUGGAACAACAUGUGUCAGCUAAACCUUUUGAAAACAGUUAUUUGACAUAAUUGCAGAAGACGUUAGAAAGAAAAAAAUGUAGAUGUGGUCAUAAAAAAAACAAAGAAGCAAACUAUUUAUAUCAUAUGAGCAGAAUGUGACCGUUUACAAUUAUACUGAUGCGUGUAUCAUGAAAUAAAUUUCACUGAUAACACUUGCAUGAAUAAAUAUACACGUCGAGAGAGAGAAAGCUAAUUUUCAAUUAUUUAUCUUAUUUUCACAUCUCUUGAGCAGUGGUGGAAAUAUUUUUCACCACUAAUGUAUUAUCGGUUCUCAUCAAAUGACUGGUCGAAAUUUCAUUAUGACGAUAAAAUUUCUGGACUUUUUCUUAAUUUUUCCUAUUGUGAUGUCCUAAAAAUAGGCGAAAUGCCUUAUGACGUCACAUAUAAAGAACACAGCUGUCUGCAAAUCUUUGAAAAAGGUAGAAUAAAAAUCGUCUAUUCCUACACUCUCAACAGUUAAAUUUCAAUUAUUUAGAAAGCUCGACAAGCCUCCCGCUUUAAUAAUUAGAAUUUAGUUGCCUCGACUGGAAAAAUAUCUCAUACACGUGUAGCAGUGAUGGAAUCUAUAUUGGCAUAUACAAAUUAAACAAAUGGAGGCUGACAAGUAUUUUUUUACAUUCGUAAAGAUGAUCGUUAUAUUUGUUAGAUAAACGUUAAGAUGACUCGUAAUUUGUGCAAACAAGAAAUUAAACAUUCAAACUAGUCUUAGAUACACAAAAAUAACACAAAGGAAACACAGAAGAGCUAUGAAUGCAGUGAUAGGCUUAGGAAAUGUAUAUUCAUUAGAAAUGCUAACAAAAACUGUGUUUUUGUAAAUAAAUACAAUCUAAAUCAUUCGCGUGAAACAAAACUUGUCAAGAUAAUCCCGCAAUACUCUUUCAUCAGUACAAUUAGCAGCAUUAUCAAAGGUGUAACUGGGUUUUUGUCAAUCCAAUAAAGAAUUAAGGUAUCCAUAUCUUCCUUUUCCUGUAUCUGUUUCGUGAUGCCUAGCUGACUGAUGUCUAUUCAAUUUUCGUUUUUUAAUGUGAUUGACUAAAAUAAAAUUUGAAGAGAAAACGCGUUGUCACUUUAAAAGUAAAACUAUCGGGUCAAGUGAUAAAUUCUAACAACACAAAAGAAAACAAAUAAAAAGCACGACACUGGGUUUAUUUCUUUUAAAUGAAAGUGAUCGGAAUAUGAUUGACAACAUUACGUUAAGAACGCGCAACUUAUAUGUAAUAUAAUGUAUUUAUUUAUUUAUAUUAUUCUUUUAUUCAUGCCAUACUUACACAAAAACAUUAGAAUUUCACAAAUUCAAAUUGUUCUUUUUAAUACUAAUUACAGACGACUCAUGUUAUCCUGACUAUUGUUCAAAUGGAGGAUCUUGUAGUCAAAACAGCUAUGGAGAUUUAGUAUGCUCGUGUGUCGGUGGAUUGACUGGUACUACCUGUACAG
RNAcentral lists this long non-coding RNA (1694 nucleotides) under Mytilus galloprovincialis (Mediterranean mussel). Lineage: Eukaryota; Metazoa; Mollusca; Bivalvia; Mytilida; Mytilidae. The record is from RNAcentral.